This 174-nucleotide microRNA precursor is filed under the name Medicago truncatula (barrel medic). RNAcentral's name for it is "miR399q stem-loop (mtr-MIR399q)". Its record names the gene mtr-MIR399q. The record is from miRBase by way of RNAcentral. Lineage: Eukaryota; Viridiplantae; Streptophyta; Magnoliopsida; Fabales; Fabaceae.
GUAAGCAAAUCAUUCAAAGGGCAUAUCUCCUUUGGCAGGUAUAAUGGGUGGUUGCUAGUUUAUUUUACAUCUAUAUUAAAAUUUUAUGUGUUUAUUUAUCAAAUAAAAAAUAAAAAAAACUAUCAUGGUAAACAACUUGCCAAAGGAGAGCUGCUCUUUGAGUGUUUAGCUUAG